Molecule: ribosomal RNA, 477 nt
Filed under: uncultured bacterium
Lineage: Bacteria
Description: partial 16S ribosomal RNA
Rfam family: Bacterial small subunit ribosomal RNA
Source: RNAcentral
GAUUAACGCUGGCGGCGUGCAUAACACAUGCAAGUCGAACGAUGAAACUUAGUAGACUUCUUCGGAAAGACAUUAAGCGGAUUAGUGGCGAACGGGUGAGUAACGCGUGAGUAACCUGCCUUACACAAGGGGACAGCCUUUGGAAACGAAGAAUAAUACCCUAUAAAACCAUAAAAGCACAUGCUAGAAUGGUCAAAGUGAUAGCGGUGUAAGAUGGACUUGCGUCUGAUUAGCUAGUUGGUGAGAUAAAAGCUCACCAAGGCAACGAUCAGUAGCCGGCUUGAGAGAGUGUACGGCCACAUUGGGACUGAGACACGGCCCAGACUCCUACGGGAGGCAGCAGUGGGGAAUUUUGCACAAUGGGGGAAACCCUGAUGCAGCGACGCCGCGUGAUUUAGAAGGCCUUCGGGUUGUAAAAAUCUUUUGUAUAGGAAGAAAACGACAGUACUAUACGAAUAAGGUCCGGCUAAUUACGUG